AGACUUUGAAAUUUCCAAAAUCUUUGGCACCAUGCACCGACCUUGCCAAGUGUCACCACCAAAUAUUUCUAGCUUGAAAACCAACCAAAAUUAAAAAUUUCUUGCAGUAAGAUUUUUACUGUAUUUAUUUGCCUAUAUAAAGAGCGUAUUCAAACAAUCAAAUCUGAAAAACCAAGACUUUGAAAAUUUCCCAAAUCUUGGCACCAUGCACCGAACUUGUUAAGUCUG
This 228-nucleotide long non-coding RNA is filed under the name Vigna radiata. RNAcentral describes it as "long non-coding RNA (VRAD_LNC012296)". Lineage: Eukaryota; Viridiplantae; Streptophyta; Magnoliopsida; Fabales; Fabaceae. The record is from RNAcentral.